UACGGAGGGUGCAAGCGUUAAUCGGAAUUACUGGGCGUAAAGCGCACGCAGGCGGUCAAUUAAGUCAGAUGUGAAAGCCCCGAGCUUAACUUGGGAAUUGCAUCUGAAACUGGUUGGCUAGAGUCUUGUAGAGGGGGGUAGAAUUCCAUGUGUAGCGGUGAAAUGCGUAGAGAUGUGGAGGAAUACCGGUGGCGAAGGCGACCCCCUGGACCAAGACUGACGCUCAGGUGCGUAAGUGUCGGGAGCCACCGGG
RNAcentral lists this ribosomal RNA (253 nucleotides) under uncultured bacterium. Its description in RNAcentral is "partial 16S ribosomal RNA". It matches the Rfam family "Bacterial small subunit ribosomal RNA", at positions 524 to 776 of the family's 1533-position model. The record is from RNAcentral.